GUGCCUGCUUCACGACAUGAAUGAACACCAAGAGAAAGUAAAACCCAACAGACCUAACCCUGAGAAAACACUCAUUUUUUUAUGUUUACACACCAGGCUGGGGUCAUCUCUGGUGUGUGUACACAAAAGUGAAAGCUGAACUUUGCUCCAACAAGACUGACUUUGUUUGGUAGUCAAAUAAAAAAAAACCUAAAUGUUGGGAAAUGACAAAUUCUGCUGCCUUGUCAUCAAAACCGGCUGUUGACCUUUUCUUCUUGUUGCUCAACAUCUUUAAUUCCCACCCUGAAAACAUGACAUCCGUCUGUCAGGCACAGGGCUGCUGCGAUCUGAACCAUCCUGUUCGGCGUGCUUAAUCUGAUCAGUACUUUCUAAAAUCGAUGUGACUAUUAUGUAUUUAUAUUGUUAAAAUGUACAAAAGUACACAUUAAUUUGCAACAUUGAAUUAUAAAUGUUUCCUGAUCAGCUGAGAACUCACAAUGGCAGGAAUCCUCUGAACAUUUAUUCCUUUGAAUGUUUAGAUUCAUAUAUAAAACUAAAUAUAGCAUGACAACCUCACAAGUACAGGACAGUCUGGAAACUACAUGCAGGAAGGGUUUAACUGACUCAAGUGCAGCAACAUUAUAACGAAAAAAAAGAGAGAAGUACUCAAAAAUGCUUCUGCAAUCCGGUACAACAUAAAGGAUAAAAUGGACAUUUUUAGGACGGAUCAACUUUAUUCCACAACAAAUGCUACAAGCACCAGUUUGGUUAGUUGCGAAUACCAGCCAGACUACACACAACAAAUAAAAAUCUCAUAACUUCCCAAUAAAAUGUCAGCUGAGUGAUGGAGAGACACAAACACAAAAACUUUGAAAUUUUGACCAAUUAAUAUCAGAAGAAUAUCAGCAUGCAAACAUGGUGCACAGCAAUUUAGACCUAUUAAUCUAAUAUGCAGGGUUUUGGAACCUUUUUGUAUUAUAUAAAAUAAAAAAAAUUACAUGCAGGUUCUGGUACUCAAGAACAAUACAAUAAAAAUUAGUAGAAAUUAAUAACAUCACACCAAAUUUGGGCAAUUCUUAUGACAUAAAACCUUGUAAACCAUCACAAACUAUAGGACCAAUAGCCUUACUGUCAUUUGUUCAUUCAGAAAAGGUAACUAGAGGCUGGUAGAGUAACUAGAACUUGUACUCAACAGUAAAAAGUGUGGUGCAGUAAAACGCCUCCUAAAAGUACCUUUUUUCCCCAAAUACAACUAGUUGCUACGUACCUCUGGUUACGAACAGACAGAAACACGUCCUCUGCUUAAUUGUGUCUCAUUUACUGUAAAAUAUGAAAUGACAAUCUGAACUGAAUCUGGAAACUACUUGGGUCUGCAAAGCUAAGUUGUGUGGCUGGACAAAUGUUCCAGAUUCACAGUGUUCAGCGUUUAUCACUAGUGGUGGAAGGAGCAGUGGUGAACUGGUGACAGGGUCAAUGGAAGAGCGAAGGCCGGGUAUACCGCCCGAUCCAAUAGAUUAUCCACUGUUGAUCAGUUAUUUUAAUAUAUUAAUGCUGAUUCUCUGAGUAUGGACCCUAAGGUUCCCUAAAAAUUGGUUUCUACGCAGCAGCUACUUUCUCAUGCACACCAGAGAAUGAUGUGACAACACAUAAAUAACCUUUUGAUACAUAUCAUUCUGUAUAAUCAUCUGAUUCAGGAUAUUGCUUGGUUGGGUACCACUAUCAUCUGGUGUGCAUGAGAAACUACAUUUUUAUUUGUUUACUUCUCUAUACACUGUAAAUUAGAAAGGUGAGAAAAUACACAAAGCUUUUCCAGGGUAUCCAUGAUGGUCACGAUAUUAUGCCUGAUCAGUGUCUAUUCCCCAUCCUUUUAGUCGAUUAAUUAAUUAAAUCAUUGCUUUGUCCAUUAGCUGCACCUUUAAAUUUGAUU
Molecule: long non-coding RNA, 1906 nt
Organism: Poecilia latipinna (sailfin molly)
Lineage: Eukaryota; Metazoa; Chordata; Actinopteri; Cyprinodontiformes; Poeciliidae
Exons: 2
Source: RefSeq, a predicted model, not a curated record